UGAGGAAUAUUGGUCAAUGGGCGAGAGCCUGAACCAGCCAAGUAGCGUGCAGGAUGACGGCCCUAUGGGUUGUAAACUGCUUUUAUAAGGGAAUAAAGUGAGUCUCGUGAGACUUUUUGCAUGUACCUUAUGAAUAAGGACCGGCUAAUUCCGUGCCAGCAGCCGCGGUAAUACGGAAGGUCCGGGCGUUAUCCGGAUUUAUUGGGUUUAAAGGGAGCGUAGGCCGGAGAUUAAGCGUGUUGUGAAAUGUAGACGCUCAACGUCUGCACUGCAGCGCGAACUGGGGUCUUGAGU
RNAcentral lists this ribosomal RNA (294 nucleotides) under uncultured Prevotella sp. Its description in RNAcentral is "partial 16S ribosomal RNA". It matches the Rfam family "Bacterial small subunit ribosomal RNA", at positions 355 to 647 of the family's 1533-position model. Lineage: Bacteria; Pseudomonadati; Bacteroidota; Bacteroidia; Bacteroidales; Prevotellaceae. The record is from RNAcentral.